UACGUAGGGUGCAAGCGUUGUCCGGAAUUAUUGGGCGUAAAGAGCUCGUAGGCGGUUUGUUGCGUCGGCUGUGAAAUCCCGAGGCUCAACCUCGGGUCUGCAGUCGAUACGAGCAAACUAGAGUGUUGCAGGGGAGACUGGAAUUCCUGGUGUAGCGGUGAAAUGCGCAGAUAUCAGGAGGGAACACCGGUGGCGAAGGCGGGUCUCUGGGCAACAACUGACGCUGGAGGAGCGAAAGCCGUGGGGAGCGAACAGG
Molecule: ribosomal RNA, 256 nt
Filed under: uncultured bacterium
Lineage: Bacteria
Description: partial 16S ribosomal RNA
Rfam family: Bacterial small subunit ribosomal RNA
Source: RNAcentral